Molecule: long non-coding RNA, 1417 nt
Filed under: Apteryx owenii (little spotted kiwi)
Lineage: Eukaryota; Metazoa; Chordata; Aves; Apterygiformes; Apterygidae
Description: lncRNA (ENSAOWG00000002845.1)
Source: RNAcentral
UUCUUGCUACUUAUAGAAAUUAAAGAUUUUUGUAGGUUUUAUGUUCAAUUUAUUUCAUCUAUUUAUUUGACCUUUUACUAAAGUUUAGCGUUGAAUUCAUUACAUCAGACAUUUACAUUGCAGCAUUCUGUUCUAAAUGUGUGCCAAGUAAAUCUCUUGUUUAAUUUGCAUGCACCCAAUAUUCUGCUCUUGCAGCCAUGCUCUCAGGUAAGUGAGUUUGCUUUGAGAGAAUUGACCUAAUGCGUGUGAAGGGGAAAGAGGAAGCAUUUGCCCAGUUAUGCAAGUCCUUUAUUUUUCUCUUACGAACAUGCAAUUUAAUUCCUUAAAAUUGCUGGUGUAAGUUAAACCUCUGAAGAUGUCUUUAAUUUACAAGUGAAAAAAUGGGUAAAACUGUAAGUAUGCUUCCUCCUCAGUGCUCCCUAGUGUAUCCUGUCUCUUCAUUCAAAGUCCCCACCCAAACAUAAGUUAAAAAAUUAUUUUUUCUUAAAAUAAUCUGAAGUACCAACAGAUCAGUGCUGUGCUUAACUUUGGAUCCAUAACCAGGUCCAGACCUUGAACACAGUUAUGUUAGUAAUUGCCAUUGAUAAACUGGUGGUAGUGUCUGAGGCCCAAGGAUGUACUGUAGCGUACCUAUCUCAUCCAAUAAUUCUUGCUUAAACCCAUGUCUUACAUAGAUAUUUUAAAAGAUAUAAAGCCAUAUUGUCAAGGUACUUAUUUUUAUAAAAUGUCAAAAUUGUUAUUUAUUAUUUUGUUUUCACUAUAUGUUUAGUUUAUCAAAAAGUAUCCUUCUACACUGACGAUUGAACAAAAGCAUAAAACCUAAGUUUACAAGAUUUGGAGUUUGACAAAAAUAAACCAUGCCUGAUACCCUAGCAAGGCAAUGAAGGUUGUACUAAUUUGCUUUAAAUGUAAGGCUUUUAAAUGAUCAUGCUAUGUUAAAAUUAGGUUAGUGUUCAAGUACUGGUUUAGAAAUUGAUGGGAGAUGGCAACACUCAUCUGUAAGGUAGACUCAAUUCAGCCCAAAUUGAUGACAUUCGAAAAUUGUAAUUUGAAGCCUGUGGAGAUGAGUUCAGAGGCGUCUUGGCAUCACAGGGCAGAGAAGAUUCCACAGUUACGGUCCAUGCUGCGUUUGUUUUGUGGACAACCAUGGCAGGUGAUUCCCCAGCUAUAGCACAGCCACAUGCCCAGCUGUCCGGCACGCUGUGCUCCCACUUGACUGAAAAGUACAGAAGCCUGUUACUAGCGAACAAUCCAGCUGCAUUUCUGAAAUAUCAAGUAACCAAACAACUAGUUGUUGAAUCAGCUCUUUGAACCAGCAUGGGAUCAAACCACAGGUCAUUUACUGAGCUGACACCCUGGACUGUUCUGUUAACGUUUCAGUAAUAAAUACCUCAGAGUUUGUAUUUGUAGUUUUGGA